RNAcentral lists this long non-coding RNA (3941 nucleotides) under Sus scrofa (pig). RNAcentral describes it as "lncRNA (ENSSSCG00025028865.1)". Lineage: Eukaryota; Metazoa; Chordata; Mammalia; Artiodactyla; Suidae. The record is from RNAcentral.
CAUUUCUUUGGCCGCUCCCGUGGCAUACAGAGGUUCCCAGGUUAGGGGUCCAGUUGGAGCUGUAGCCACCAGCCUACGCCAGAGCCACAGCAACACAGGAUCUGAGCCACGUCUGUAACCUUCACCACAGCUCAUGGCAACACUAGGUCCUUAUUAACCCACUGAGCAAGGCCAGGGAUUGAACCCACAACCUCAUGGUUCCUAGUCGUUUUCAUUAACCACUGCGCCACAACGGGAACUCCUGAUAAAUUCAUUUUUAAUGAAAGGAGCGAAGCUUUAUCCAUAUGUGUUUUCUGUUUUCUUAACCCACUGAGUGAGGCCAGGGAUCAAACCUGCAAACGCAUGGUUCCUAGUCGGGUUUGUUAACCACUGAGCCACAAAGGGAACUCCCAGAUAUGUGUUUUCUUCUCUUUUCUUUUCUUUUUCCACGUGUGUUUUCUUAAUUCAAUGCCUUCAGUAUCUAUUUAGCUAUUUACCUGUGCAAUGUACAAACCACUUUCUGGGCCAAGAGGAUCCUUCAGAUCAAAGAAUCAUUGAGCACCAGUGAGAAAACAUCUGUGGAUCUGUUUCCAAGUCCAUUAGCCUCCAUCUAGUCAAAAAACAUGCCCACUCAUGGUGCCUAACCUGACACCAAGGCUUACCAAUCACCUGCAGUGGAUGGCUGCUAUAGACUGAAUGUCUGCCCGCCCCCUGCCCGCCAGAUUCAUAGUUGAAAUGUAACGCCCAAUGUGAUGGCAGGAAGAAGGAGCCUUGGGGGGAUGAUCAAGUCCUAAGAGCCCUUAUCAUAGGGGCUGAGAAGAGGCCCUUGUUCCUUUGUCCAUGUGAAGGUGCAACCGAAAGAUGGACACCUAGGAAGUGGGUCUCCAUCCGACACUGAACCUGCCAGCACCUUGAUCUUGAACGUCUCAGCCUCCAGAACUGUAAGAAAUAAAUAUCUGUUAAUUAUAAGCCACCCAGUCUGUGGUCCUCUGUUAGAGCAGCUGGAAUUAGGGAACACAAACUCCUCUGUCCCAGCAAUCACCCCCUCACCACUUGGCUUUGCUGCUUCCCUUAUCCAGAGGGGAAUCCAUUUCAGACCCCCUGGAAUCUGGGCUCUAGUUGUGACUUUCAAAGACCCACCGAAUGUGGCAGAAGGGAGGCCGCCAAAUUCCUGAACCUACGUCUUUUUUUCUUUUCAGGGCUGCACCUGUGGCAUUCGGAAGUUGCCAGGUGAGGGGUGGAAUCCGAACUUCAGCUGCAGGCCUACACCACAGCCACAGCAAUGCGGAAUCCAAGCCACAUCUGCACCUACACCACAGCUUGCUACUCCAGUAGCAAUGCUGGAUCCUAACCCACUGAGCGAAGCCAGGGAUUGAACCCCAAUAUCCUAAGGAAAUUAUGUCAGGUUCUUAACCCUCUAAGCCAAAACAGGAACCCCCUGAGCCUUGAUCUUGAAAGCCCUCAUCAUUUCCCUCUUGAGCUUCUCACAGUGCGCCCCCCGCCCCCAGCCACCAGGCUGCCAUAGCAUAGAAAAUUCCAGAACAUGAGACUACUUGGAAGAAGAGUCCCAACCAUCCCAGCUGAGAACAGAAAACAAAUAGAGAAGCGUGAAUGAGCCCAGGUGAAAGCAGCUAACCUACAGAACUGUGAGAAAUUACUGUCCCUGCCUUGGGUCACUAUGUUUGGGGGUGUUUGUUAUGCAGCAAUAGACAACUGAGAGCUCUAGGGAGGCGUCGGGGGUGCAUGCAGGGCUGUCAAUCAUUUUCUGAAAUACUUGGAAGACAUAAAUAAAACAACGACCUUUUUAGAUUCUUGCUACAUCUCCUUGGGUCCUCAGACGUGCUGGCCUUUGCUGAAAGCCACUUUCCAAGGUUCAAUCCAAUAUUUCGCUUUUGGAAACAGUUCAGUUAUGCAUUUUUCCUUCCAAGCAGGAAACAGGUAGAAGACUUGGGAUUGUGCUUUUUGGCAAUGAAAACGCUAUUGGGAAAAUGCACAUAAUUUCGGAAGGUCCAAGGAAUGGAUUCACCCCGCUGCCUUUUCCGUUUUUACAUUAGUUUUCCCUCCUUCCUGGGGAGAAAGGUGCAAAUAAGGAUGGAUCUGUUUUCCUUUAGAACAUUUAGGCUCAUUGAAGAAUCAUUUUACCUCACAUGCCUUUAAUGCAGAAUAAUAUUUAAAGAAUAAUUUUCAAGAACAGAAUAUGAGAAAGCAAGUUUUCAGGGAAAUUUUUUUUUUCCUAAGAAUGUAGCUGGAGGCAGUCUUGCUCCUGGGCUUUGUUCAGUUACAUAGAUUUAAUUGCCCGGGGCAGGUCUUCGAAAGUUACGUUUACUCAAAUGUGGGCCUUCGGGACCGUAUUUUCUGGAAACAAAUGCUUUUCAAACAUCUCACUGUAGCAUUUAGUUGUAUCCGGACUCGGCAGAAUGUGACUCUUUCAAGAAUUAAACCCUUGAUUGGAAAAUAAAUUGCUAUCAAAUAUACCAUUCCUGCAAGCCCCCCAAAUGAAGGUAAUUUUUUGCACAUUUGAAUGUUAUGGCCGUUCCCAACUCCCCCAAACCCCCACCUCCUGGGCCUUUUAGCUCUUAAAACUGUCUGGAAACUAAACUGUACUUUAAAAAUUAUUGUUAUGGGGGGGAAAUGAAAACACAUUUCAAUUUUCUUUACGUGAGGCAGUGCAACUUCGCACGACUCCCGCAGCUUUCCAGGGACCAUGAGUGGGUGGCUUGACUUCCGUGUGGCCCCUACUUACCACAUGACAACAGUCAGAAAAACCGUGGUUUUCUAACCCCAGAAUGCUCCUCAAAACUAUCAAAACGCCUGCCCUGUCGGCAACUCCAGCUUAACUGUGCUCUAGUCAACAGCCCCUGGUGUCCUUUUUUUUUUUUAAUCCCACAUGAGUUUAAGUAUCUUUAUUCUAACUCUUUCAGAGCCUUCUUCUGUCCUCAAAAACAGGAUGGGAGCAGGGGUCGCGGGGGUCUUUGUCAGAAUAAAUCACAAUUUUUGGCAAGCAUCUGUGAUUUUUACCCACUUAGGGACUAGAAUACUGCCUUGUAAAACUGUGCAGCCUUCUCUUAGUGCUUAAUUAUAAGGCCAAAAUAAGGACACCAUUUCAUAGGCUCUUUUAAGGGAUAUACAUAUAAGAUUUUCAUCUUGGAACCUAUCAAGAGUUUAAAUUUUUUCCUAGCCACCUGUGGGCUGGUUCUGAUGACAACCAGCUCAGCGGACUGGUCAGGGACCCCAAUCUCGAGGUCCCGGGGGGAAGUUUCACUGGGCGUUUUCUUUGUCGACUUUCUCCUCCCCAUAAAUGAAAGGUUCACACACCUCAAGGCUGAUCCAGGAAAUCAGAGCUCCCACUUGUACACCACCACUCCAACUGGGUCCCAAGAGAGGGGUUCACGCUGAUUAAUCCCUGAUGCUGGAGGAACAAGGCUGCCCACUACGUGAGGCUCUGCAGGUUGAUGGCAAAGUUAGGGAAGCCCCUCCAGCCCUUUCCUGCACAACACACACAGGCUCUGUCUCAUCUGGCCCCAGGACCACCUCCGAUCCUUGUCCCCGCCUCCAGUCUUUCAACCAAACUGUGCUGUAUUGAACUGGAAAAAGGAGCCGAUUGCAUAACCAGGAGGCAAUGACGUUUGGCCAAAAACGUGAGACAUCGACACAUUUCUAUAGGUCAACAUUGGAUUCCUCCCCCCCAUCUUAGAUCGCAAUAAUCAAUAUCUUUGAGAUCAAUACACCUCUCAGAGAGCUGGCCGAUGCCACCAAAACUUAAGUGAGAUGGAUGCAAACCAGAAAAGAAAGGUAUUUCAUAUUUUAAAAUAAUGAAUAUUGGUGGGCAUGCCAAGAGGUGUUCAGUAUAUUUUUUCCCCUUAAAGAUGUUUAUUGAGGUGACACAGUAUCUAAGCGGCUUGGUACAAUUAUGGGAUUCCUGGAUGAGGAGUCUAUGCAUAGAAUAAGUCUCUUUACAUCAG